GCCCGGGUGGCGAAAUGGCAGACGCAAGGGACUUAAAAUCCCUUAACCGAAAGGUUGUGCGGGUUCGACUCCCGCCCCGGGCACCA
RNAcentral lists this transfer RNA (86 nucleotides) under Lentisphaerota bacterium. RNAcentral describes it as "Lentisphaerae bacterium (anaerobic digester metagenome) tRNA-Leu". It matches the Rfam family "tRNA". Rfam says of the family: Transfer RNA (tRNA) molecules are approximately 80 nucleotides in length. Their secondary structure includes four short double-helical elements and three loops (D, anti-codon, and T loops). Lineage: Bacteria; Pseudomonadati; Lentisphaerota. The record is from RNAcentral. RNAcentral also lists the same sequence under 1 other name.